AACGCUAGCUACAGGCUUAACACAUGCAAGUCGAGGGGCAGCAUUUUAGUUUGCUUGCAAACUGAAGAUGGCGACCGGCGCACGGGUGAGUAACACGUAUCCAACCUGCCGAUAACUCCGGGAUAGCCUUUCGAAAGAAAGAUUAAUACCGGAUAGUAUACGAAUAUCGCAUGAUAUUUUUAUUAAAGAAUUUCGGUUAUCGAUGGGGAUGCGUUCCAUUAGUUUGUUGGCGGGGUAACGGCCCACCAAGACUACGAUGGAUAGGGGUUCUGAGAGGAAGGUCCCCCACAUUGGAACUGAGACACGGUCCAAACUCCUACGGGAGGCAGCAGUGAGGAAUAUUGGUCAAUGGGCGAGAGCCUGAACCAGCCAAGUAGCGUGAAGGAUGAAGGCUCUAUGGGUCGUAAACUUCUUUUAUAUGGGAAUAAAGUUUUCCACGUGUGGAAUUUUGUAUGUACCAUAUGAAUAAGGAUCGGCUAACUCCGUGCCAGCAGCCGCGGUAAUACGGAGGAUCCGAGCGUUAUCCGGAUUUAUUGGGUUUAAAGGGAGCGUAGGUGGAUUGUUAAGUCAGUUGUGAAAGUUUGCGGCUCAACCGUAAAAUUGCAGUUGAAACUGGGAGUCUUGAGUACAGUAGAGGUGGGCGGAAUUCGUGGUGUAGCGGUGAAAUGCUUAGAUAUCACGAAGAACUCCGAUUG
This 695-nucleotide ribosomal RNA is filed under the name uncultured Bacteroidales bacterium. RNAcentral's name for it is "bacterial SSU rRNA". It matches the Rfam family "Bacterial small subunit ribosomal RNA", at positions 32 to 715 of the family's 1533-position model. The record is from RNAcentral. Lineage: Bacteria; Pseudomonadati; Bacteroidota; Bacteroidia; Bacteroidales.